Molecule: long non-coding RNA, 4713 nt
Organism: Dama dama (fallow deer)
Lineage: Eukaryota; Metazoa; Chordata; Mammalia; Artiodactyla; Cervidae
Exons: 5
Source: RefSeq, a predicted model, not a curated record
CUCUGUUCUGUACUUCUGUGUCUCUUUUUCUGUUUUGCAUAUAGGGUUAUCAUUACCAUCUUUCUAAAUUCCAUAUAUAUGUGUUAGUAUGCUGUAAUGUUCUUUAUAUUUCUGGCUUACUUCACUCUGUAUAAUGGGCUCCAGUUUCAUCUAUCUCAUUAGAACUGAUUCAAAUGAAUUCUUUUUAACGGCUAAGUAAUAUUCCAUGGUGUAUAUGUACCACAGCUUCCUUAUCCAUUCGUCUGCUGAUGGGCAUCUAGGUUGCUUCCAUGUCCUGGCUAUUAUAAACAGUGCUGCGAUGAACAUUGGGGUGCACGUGUCUCUUUCAGAUCUGGUUUCCUCAUUGUGUAUGCCCAGAAGUGGGAUUGCUGGGUCAUAUGGCAGUUCUAUUUCCAGUUUUUUAAGAAAUCUCCACACUGUUUUCCAUAAUGGCUGUACUAGUUUACAUUCCCACCAGCAAGUUGCCUUUUUCUUUUGUUGAUGAUUUCCCUUGCUCUGUAAAAGCUUUUUAGUUUGAUGAACUCCCAUUUGUUUAUUUUUGCUUUUGUUGCUCUUGCCUGAGGAGACAUGUCAAAAAACUAUUGCUAAGACCUAUGUCAAAGAGUGUCCUGGCUACGUCUUCUUCUAGGAGCUUUAUGGUUUAAGGUCUAUCAAUUUUGUCUUUAAUCUUCCCUUGUUGUUGUUGAUUUCUGAAUGUUGUAUAAGAAAGGGGUCCAGUUUUCCCAUAACCAUUUAUUGAAGAGACAGCAUUUUGCCUGACGGAUGUUCUUGGCUCCCUUGUCAUAGACUAAUAGGCCAUAUGAGCGCAGGUUUAUUUCUGACAGAGCAUCCCCAACUCUACCCUCUGUAAAGGCUGGGGUGAAGUGAGAAGACCCGGUGACUUCAAUGUCCGUCCACUGCUGGUGGCACACCAAGUCUGGAUGAGGGUAUGCUAUUUUCUGUUCUCCAAACCAAAGAGACCAGGAUGCCAGUUCCAAAGGAAUCAUCAGGACUGUUGACUAGAAGACAGAAUGGAGAAUUGGAAUGAUCUUCACAGAGGUCUACUGUCCAGGAUCAGCUGUACUCCAGGAAACCAGACAACCAAAGAUACGUUCCUUUUUAAAUUACUAUACACUGCCACUGGACGAUUCAGGAGAUAAAAGUUUUCAAACACAUUGCACACCAAGGCAGGACUCAGAGAGACUAUUAAAAGUAUGUACUUAUGCCUAUGUCACAUCAAGAUCUAACUCACACACUCUUGAGAAAGAACACCUGUGAUGAUUUCAAUAUGGGAAACAUUUCCCCUGAAAAUACUUCAUUAUUUUGUCUCACUUUGUGACGUGGGACAGGAGGCAUGGAGGAAGGUGAUGCCAAGGAAAGAUGCCUACUUCUGAACCUGGUGAACACCGAUUUGAGCCCAGUUAUCCUGGUCAUCGACUGAUGUCCACAGGAUGUUUCGAUAUUGUUUCAAAAAUGCCAAUCAGCAAGGAGAGAAAGAGAAAUAACUCACAUAUAGACUCUCCAUUCUGCUCAUGGGGUUCUCAAGUAUGUCAAGGCUGUAUAUUGUCACCCUGCUUAUUUAACUUAUAUGCAGAGUACCUCAUGCGAAAUGCUGGGCCAGAUGAAGCACAAGCUGGAUUCAAGAUUAAUGGGAGAAAUAUCAAUAACUCCCGAUAUGCAGAUGACACCACCCUUGUGGCAGAAAGCGAAGAAGAACUAAAGAGCCUCUUGAUGAAAGUGAAAGAGGACAGAGAAAAAGUUGGCUUAAAACAACAUUCAGAAAACUAGGAUCAUGGCAUCCGGACACACCACUUCAUGGCAAACGAUUUCUCCUCAAAAGAAAAGCUAUGACAAACUUAGACCACUUUUAAAAAGCAGAGACAUUACUUUACCAACAAAGGUCCAUCUAGUCAAAGCUUUGGUUUUUCCAGUAGUCAUGUAUGGAUGUGAGAGGUGGACUAUAAAGAAAGCUGAGUGCAGAAGAACUGAUGCUUUUGAACUGUGGUGUUGGAGAAGCCUCUUGAGAGCCCUUUGGACUUCAGGGAGAUCCAACCAGUCCAUUCUAGAACAAAUCAGUCCUGAAUAUUCAUUGGAAGGACUGAUGCUGAAGCUGAAACUGCAAUACUUUGGCCACCUGAUGAGAAGAACCGGCUCAUUGGAAAAGACCCUGAUGCUGGGAAAGACUGAAGGUGGGAGGAGAAGGGGACAAUAGAGGAUGAGAUGGAUGGAUGGCAGCACCUACUCAAUGGACAUGAGUUUGAGUAGGAUCUGCGAGUUGGUGAUGGCCAGGGCAGCCUGGUGUGCUGCAGUCCAUGGGGUCGAAGAGUGGGACACGACUGAGCGACUGAACUAACUGAAGACUGUCCAACCGCCAUCUGAUACUGAAGAGGUGGGGCAUCUGCGAAAAAUAACUGUCCUGAGAGAACACGGAUCCCACUUGGCUAAAGAGGAUUCUGGUCCUGUGACACAAAAGCACACCUGGUGGGUCCUAGAGAGAUCGAUGUCUCCCUCUGCGUCUGUCCCUCUCUCUACCCCUGGCUCUCACACCUUCUUUCUCAGGAUCAGGUUCUCAACAGCAGGACGCCAAUGCAGUGGCUCCCAUCCUCAGCCCAUGCGAGAAGCUGGGAAUGGGCGGGGCUCGGCCUCCCAUCCUUAGUGCGUGUGGAAUAAAAUGGUAAAGACCACCGAGAGGAGUCCUCCAGCGUCCUAUAGAGCCUACCCGGCCUUCAGCGGGGAGGAGUCUGCGGGCCUGGUUUUAACGUCACAAAGAUGGGACAUUUACCCCUCCCCUCCUUAUAGAAGGACCUUCCUGCGUAUUCCCUGCGUUGUAGUGGAUUGAGAGGGAGCCUGGAAUGGCCUGAAGAAAAGCUCUGUAUUUGAUGCAAUCUCCUCCUCGACAUCGGGACCAUCUCCGCCUUGACCCCCAGUCUUUGCCACAGCCAAUUCCUGGAGAUCAGUUUCCAGAUGGGCCUGAUAAUCUAUGUGAGCCUACUUCUGCUGACUCCAAAGAUCCUGAGUCUGCCGUUUGAUCCUCAAGACAAUGCCUUCCUGUCCUGGGCUCCCUCCUACGCUGCAUCCCACAAUCAGUCUAACUGCUGGAUCAGUGGAGCACUCCCCUCUUCAUCAGUGGAAGGCUGCCCAUGGGGGACAUCUCCACUUCGAGGAAAAGACUUUCUCCAAGUCUGCAAAUACAUUCGACAACAAUCAUAUGUGAUGCCUCGUCUUCAUCUGAUGACAUCUAACAACCCUAAGAUGGACUGGUGCAACACUUUGUACUUUAACUAUGUACAUAACGUGACUUUUCAUUUUGAUUAUACAUUGUCUUGGUUUAAUGACUAUUUCGCUACACAUCUAGAUCUAGUGGCUUUUUACCUGACGUUUAUCAAAUACGGGAUGAUAUAAGGUUAUGUGGCGAACUCCUGAAAAAGGACGUCUAAUAUCUACUGCCCCUAUAUGCUGGGAACAAAUAGAGCCAUCCCCAGAAGUUAGCCAACAACUUAAUUAUGAUGAUUGGAAACAAUUGGGAUUUUUGCCUCAGGAAAUAUGCAAGUUAAUCAUUCCCGUACUUCCCAACCCCAGUUCAGGUCCUCCCUUUGCCUGGCCAGGCACUAAUUGGGACUGGAUAUCUCAGUCACGCUGGCUUGCUCCAAAUGGGACCUAUUGGAUAUGUGGCUCUUACCUAUGGGCAUGGCUUCCCCCUGGCUGGAUAGGGAGAUGCACCCUAGGUCUAGCUUUUACUCACGGCUUCAUAUUUUCAGAGCUUCCAGAAAAGCCUGCUAAUUUACCAUACCUUAAAACUCGGUGGGCAAGGUCUGUAUUUCACUGGUGUGAUUAUUUGGCUGCAGUGUUUGUUCCCUCUCUGGGAACCACAGAUGUUAUGCUAUGAGUGGAUGCUUUGACUAAUUUUACUCAACAGGUAUUACAAGAUUCUCAAAAAGCUAUUUCAGCUCUUAAUGCCAAACAAGCACAAAUUAGAAAGGUGGUUUUACAAAACAGAUUGGCCUUAGAUAUUCUGACAGCUGCACGAGGAGGAACUUGUGCCACUAUUCAUACCCAGUGCUGUACAUAUAUACCUGAUAUAAGCACUAAUGUUACUCAUUUUACUAAACACAGGAAUAAGAUGAUUCAGGCUAUGGAUACUCCUGCAGCCUCAAUUGCCUCACUUUGGGAGAUGUUAACUAGUUCCCCAUGGUGGAAAACUAUCUGAAUUACAAUACUUCUGUUUGUUCUGUUUUUGCUGUUUGCUCCCUGCAACUGUAACUUGUGUAGCUGGAUUUGAUUCUAGUUGCAUGAAGACUUUUAAGUUACAAAUGGUUGCUCAAACUCCUGUGACUCCUGCAGCUUCCUCUAACUACUACUUGGAGCUCCUGGAUCAGAGACCCUCAGUACGAGGGUUAGGAGAAUAUGUUGCCUCAUCAAUUUAGGGACAAUGCCCCUUAUCAGCUUGGAAGCAGUUAUGGAAUGAGACUGAUGCCCCUUUCCCUAGGCAACAUAAUUCUCCUAAAAGAAAAGGGGGGGGAAUGAGAGGAUAACAGGCAGGAAGGCGAGGGGUCUCCAAAUGGAGGAAAUAGGCUGCAAGUGUCAGACAUUUUUUCUCUCUCUCUCUUAAGAGGCAGGCGGAGAAGGCAAUGGCACCCCACUCCAGUACUCUUGCCUGGAAAAUCCCAUGGACGGAGGAACCUGGUGGGCUGCAGUCCAUUGGCUCGCUAAGAGUCGAACAUGACUGAGCGACUU